Long non-coding RNA from Paramisgurnus dabryanus, 391 nucleotides. RefSeq lists it as uncharacterized. The record is from RefSeq and is a predicted model, not a curated record. Lineage: Eukaryota; Metazoa; Chordata; Actinopteri; Cypriniformes; Cobitidae.
UUCUGGACCGUCCAGCAGCACCGUCUCCCCUCCUCCUCCUGUAUCAGACUGUUUCCACUGCUGGACACUGCUGGUCAGUCUUUGUGUUGUGUGUUUUCUCCUCUGCUUCAUCUGUGUCUACUGCCUAUAUCAGAGAAAAACUACAGAUGCUGGGACUGAUCACAAAGAAAAGAUAAAAAGUAGUAAUAGCUUUGAGGGUAAUGAUGAUGACGUGUGUUAUGCUUCCUUGGAUGUGACCAACAGAAGACAGAAACGACCCAAGAAGAAACAACAGCAGAGUUCAGACUUCAGUAUUUAUGCUCCGAUCAAAACAGACACAGUAUAAAACUUCUGAUGAAGAUUUUAAGUGUCAAAGCUUUUGAAUUUUUUUACUGAAAUAACAUAUUUCAUG